GUUUAUCCAAGCAAUAAUGCAAACCCUUCUUGACAGUUCUGAGCUUCUUCUUUUCCAGGCUCCAGCAAGCCCUGAUCACAAAUUAUCAGAGAAGAUGGGAUUGCUACAUGACUGAGGACAGUUGUUUGCUAGAUACUCUGCAGAGAUGUCAGUCUGUUUUUAACUUCAGUCUGGAGUGAAUUUAUUGGGGUUACAUUGGCACCAUGGCUUCUGACUCUGAGCCUGGCCUAGCAGAGAUGUGUGCCUCCCACCCUGUUUUCAGAAGGAUGUCAUUGAGGAAACCACACAAGAUCAGCCUGCACUCCUUAAGGAAGCAAAUGACACAAGCUCACUUUCUUCUGAACUACUUAAGCUGAACAUUGGUACCACCACAAAAUAAGUACCCCACCCUAGCAAAGACUUUUGAAGAGGAACGCAAGGGGAUAUUCCUCCAGUAUUUCUUUGUCAGAGGGUAAGAGGAAGACCUAAGAAAUAAAACUUCUGCAGACAUUGGGAACGCAGUAACAAUCUUGCAGCAAAUACACGGUUGCAAGCAGGUGAUCUGGCUAUAUAAAGAAAUAGA
Molecule: non-coding RNA, 562 nt
Organism: Meleagris gallopavo (turkey)
Lineage: Eukaryota; Metazoa; Chordata; Aves; Galliformes; Phasianidae
Source: RefSeq, a predicted model, not a curated record